UAUGUGAUCGUCUCUCGCAUAUCAAUAAGCGGAGGAAAAGAAACUAACAAGGAUUCCCCUAGUAACGGCGAGUGAAGCGGGAAGAGCUCAAAUUUGAAAUCUUAAAGGGUUUCCCUUUACGAAUUGUAGUUUAAAGAAGUGUUUUCUGUUGAGGUUUUGGUAAAAGUUCUUUGGAAUAGGACAUCAUAGAGGGUGAGAAUCCCGUAUUUGACCUUUACUUUCAACUUUGUGAUACACUUUCAAAGAGUCGGAUUGUUUGGGAAUGCAGUCCAAAAUGGGUGGUAAAUUUCAUCUAAAGCUAAAUAUUGGCGAGAGACCGAUAGCGAACAAGUACCGUGAGGGAAAGAUGAAAAGAACUUUGAAAAGAGAGUUAAACAGUACGUGAAAUUGUCAAAAGGGAAGCGUUUGACACCAGUGUUGUUUUUCUGAAAAUCAAUUAAAGAACUGUUUAUGCUAAGCUGUUUAGACUUUAUCAGCUAACUGUUUAGUUUUGAGCUUUUCUUUAAUGCACUUUUCAGUUAACAAGUCAACAUCAAUUUCUUUUGCUGUAAAAAAGCUUGAGGAAGGUGGCUUGAGAUUCGUCUUAAGUGUUUAUAGCCUCUUGCUUAUGCAGUCGGAGAGAUUGAGGUCUGCAGCGUAGAUCCUUCGGGGCUAAAUGCAUUUGUGCUAAGUUAUAAGCAUUUUAUAGACAACUUGUUGACUAUGAUUUGUCUUGUAGCUUACUCGCUUAUGUUAUUUUACCUACGCUUAGGAUGUUGAGUAGCGACAUACGCAC
This 775-nucleotide ribosomal RNA is filed under the name uncultured Neocallimastigales. RNAcentral describes it as "partial large subunit ribosomal RNA". It matches the Rfam family "Eukaryotic large subunit ribosomal RNA", at positions 24 to 649 of the family's 3401-position model. Lineage: Eukaryota; Fungi; Neocallimastigomycota; Neocallimastigomycetes; Neocallimastigales. The record is from RNAcentral.